ACGACCAUAUCACGUUGAAACACUGGUUCUCGUACGAUCACCGAAGUUAAGCAACGUCGAGCCUGGUCAGUACCUAGAUGGGUGACCGCUUGGGAAUACCAGGUACUGUAA
RNAcentral lists this ribosomal RNA (111 nucleotides) under Acanthosepion pharaonis. Lineage: Eukaryota; Metazoa; Mollusca; Cephalopoda; Sepiida; Sepiidae. The record is from RNAcentral.